This 1372-nucleotide ribosomal RNA is filed under the name uncultured bacterium. Its description in RNAcentral is "bacterial SSU rRNA". It matches the Rfam family "Bacterial small subunit ribosomal RNA", at positions 28 to 1381 of the family's 1533-position model. The record is from RNAcentral.
GAUGAACGCUGGCGGCGUGCCUAAUACAUGCAAGUCGAGCGAACGGACGAGAAGCUUGCUUCUCUGAUGUUAGCGGCGGACGGGUGAGUAACACGUGGAUAACCUACCUAUAAGACUGGGAUAACUUCGGGAAACCGGAGCUAAUACCGGAUAAUAUUUUGAACCGCAUGGUUCAAAAGUGAAAGACGGUCUUGCUGUCACUUAUAGAUGGAUCCGCGCUGCAUUAGCUAGUUGGUAAGGUAACGGCUUACCAAGGCAACGAUGCAUAGCCGACCUGAGAGGGUGAUCGGCCACACUGGAACUGAGACACGGUCCAGACUCCUACGGGAGGCAGCAGUAGGGAAUCUUCCGCAAUGGGCGAAAGCCUGACGGAGCAACGCCGCGUGAGUGAUGAAGGUCUUCGGAUCGUAAAACUCUGUUAUUAGGGAAGAACAUAUGUGUAAGUAACUGUGCACAUCUUGACGGUACCUAAUCAGAAAGCCACGGCUAACUACGUGCCAGCAGCCGCGGUAAUACGUAGGUGGCAAGCGUUAUCCGGAAUUAUUGGGCGUAAAGCGCGCGUAGGCGGUUUUUUAAGUCUGAUGUGAAAGCCCACGGCUCAACCGUGGAGGGUCAUUGGAAACUGGAAAACUUGAGUGCAGAAGAGGAAAGUGGAAUUCCAUGUGUAGCGGUGAAAUGCGCAGAGAUAUGGAGGAACACCAGUGGCGAAGGCGACUUUCUGGUCUGUAACUGACGCUGAUGUGCGAAAGCGUGGGGAUCAAACAGGAUUAGAUACCCUGGUAGUCCACGCCGUAAACGAUGAGUGCUAAGUGUUAGGGGGUUUCCGCCCCUUAGUGCUGCAGCUAACGCAUUAAGCACUCCGCCUGGGGAGUACGACCGCAAGGUUGAAACUCAAAGGAAUUGACGGGGACCCGCACAAGCGGUGGAGCAUGUGGUUUAAUUCGAAGCAACGCGAAGAACCUUACCAAAUCUUGACAUCCUUUGACAACUCUAGAGACAGAGCCUUCCCCUUCGGGGGACAAAGUGACAGGUGGUGCAUGGUUGUCGUCAGCUCGUGUCGUGAGAUGUUGGGUUAAGUCCCGCAACGAGCGCAACCCUUAAGCUUAGUUGCCAUCAUUAAGUUGGGCACUCUAAGUUGACUGCCGGUGACAAACCGGAGGAAGGUGGGGAUGACGUCAAAUCAUCAUGCCCCUUAUGAUUUGGGCUACACACGUGCUACAAUGGACAAUACAAAGGGCAGCGAAACCGCGAGGUCAAGCAAAUCCCAUAAAGUUGUUCUCAGUUCGGAUUGUAGUCUGCAACUCGACUACAUGAAGCUGGAAUCGCUAGUAAUCGUAGAUCAGCAUGCUACGGUGAAUACGUUCCCGGGUCU